GAUGAAGAACGUAGCGAAAUGCGAUAAGUAAUGCGAAUUGCAGAAUUCAGUGAGUCAUCGAAUCUUUGAACGCACAUUGCGCCCUGUGGUAUUCCGCAGGGCAUGCCUGUUCGAGCGUCAUUUCAACCCUCAAGCCUCGCUUGGUGUUGGGCCCUGCCCGCCGCGGCCGGCCCUAAAGAUAGUGGCGGCGCCGCCUGGCCCUCAGCGUAGUACAGCUCUCGCUCCAGGGUCCGGCGGCAGCCUGCCAGAACCCCCCAACUCUGUGGUUGACCUCGGAUCAGGUAGGGAUACCCGCUGAACUUAAGCAUAUCAAUAAACGGAGGA
This 324-nucleotide unclassified non-coding RNA is filed under the name soil metagenome. RNAcentral describes it as "partial contains 5.8S ribosomal RNA, internal transcribed spacer 2, and large subunit ribosomal RNA". The stretch from base 1 to 120 matches the Rfam family "5.8S ribosomal RNA", at positions 35 to 154 of the family's 154-position model. The record is from RNAcentral.